RNAcentral lists this unclassified non-coding RNA (240 nucleotides) under Hevea brasiliensis (rubber tree). Lineage: Eukaryota; Viridiplantae; Streptophyta; Magnoliopsida; Malpighiales; Euphorbiaceae. The record is from RNAcentral.
UACUGGUGUUGAUAAUUCUCAAUCCUAUUACCAGGACAUCUCACAAGUGCAGCCGCAGCCGCCGCAACAGAGUAUUUCUACGGGUGCUUAUAAUGAAGUUUAUCAACAUCCAGUUUCUUAUGGAGGAUACCAACAAUUGCAGCCGAAGCAACAGUUUCCUGAAUAUAACCCUGUUUCAUUUCAGCCACCACCGACACAGAUGUUUGUUCCAACACACACAGCACAGAUUCCACAGCCAAG